Molecule: long non-coding RNA, 382 nt
Organism: Suricata suricatta (meerkat)
Lineage: Eukaryota; Metazoa; Chordata; Mammalia; Carnivora; Herpestidae
Exons: 3
Source: RefSeq, a predicted model, not a curated record
GUGUAACAAUUCCUCCUCAGCAUGAGGAGCAAUAGCACAUGUGAGAUAUACAAAGCGCACUGUGCACAGGUCCAUGGUUCUGGUUACCGUCGAUGAACAAACGGAGGCACAGAGAGAUUUAUAUCCUUUGCCCAAGGUGACACAAUUUGGAGUGGAAUCCAAAUCCAGGAAUCUGGCACGCAUGCCUGGACUCUGACCACUUGGCCCCAUCGGAGUAAAACAAACCCGGGGCCAGCCCUGUGCGGAGCCGCGUGAAGACGCCACUGUAGCCGGCAGUCUCCUGGGCAAUCAGCGUGAUUGGCCAGCGCUGCAGUGUCACCAUAGCGCUCUCACUAAGAGGCUGCUUGAAUGUGGCCCAUUAAAUGCAUCUUCUUAGACCUCU